CUGCUCGCCACGCGCUCUCUGCACGCCUGUAAAGGCGCAACCCUCCCCCUACCUCCCCUCUGGACCUUCGGAAUACGGGCGCCUCGAAGCACUGGCAAGUUCCUCCAG
RNAcentral lists this long non-coding RNA (108 nucleotides) under Castor canadensis (American beaver). RNAcentral describes it as "WT1 antisense RNA conserved region 1 (ENSCCNG00000014837.1)". It matches the Rfam family "WT1 antisense RNA conserved region 1". Lineage: Eukaryota; Metazoa; Chordata; Mammalia; Rodentia; Castoridae. The record is from RNAcentral.